AUUAUCUUUAAAUAUUAGUUUAGCCUACUCCGAUCAUCUGGUUCUCUACUCCGUCGGCUCCAACACGCUUGGUAGUGUAACACCUUGUUUAUUCCAGGGAAAUGGCAAUUCAGCAAGUGCAGCAGGAUGCAUCACAGUUGCGUAAGACAAGGCAAGUGUCAAAUGCAGGGGCAACGAUUGAAUGAUCAGCAUGUGCACAAUGUGCAACAAUAUCAGAAUGCAGAGCAGCAACAACAACAAAAUGUGCAGCAGGAACAAGAACAAAUUGUGGGGCAGCAACAACAACCGAAUCAGGAGAAGCAGCAUGAUGCAGAAGCAUCAACUAUAAUUAUACAAAUCCGAGUAUAGAUGAUAUGAUGAAAAUGUUUGAACAACUAAGGAAUAACAUGGGCUAACGAUGAAAAAUGGAUGAUCGCAACUAUUGAAGGUGAUUAAUAAAAGCAGUGUUGAGAAGGGCCGAUGUAAAAAAGUUUGUAUAUUUAUGUUUAUGUUAUUGUAUUUAAAUGGAUCAUGUACUUUGUUGACAAAGUGAGAUUAUCUUAUAAUUAGCACGUUUCCUUAGUAUGUUAUUUAUAAAAUAAAUCAUUUUAUAGUCAUCA
Molecule: long non-coding RNA, 599 nt
Organism: Chenopodium quinoa (quinoa)
Lineage: Eukaryota; Viridiplantae; Streptophyta; Magnoliopsida; Caryophyllales; Amaranthaceae
Exons: 3
Source: RefSeq, a predicted model, not a curated record